RNAcentral lists this ribosomal RNA (468 nucleotides) under uncultured bacterium. Its description in RNAcentral is "partial 16S ribosomal RNA". It matches the Rfam family "Bacterial small subunit ribosomal RNA", at positions 28 to 507 of the family's 1533-position model. The record is from RNAcentral.
GACGAACGCUGGCGGCGUGCUUAACACAUGCAAGUCGAACGGAAAGGCCCUGCUUUUGUGGGGUGCUCGAGUGGCGAACGGGUGAGUAGCACGUGAGUAACCUGCCCUUGACUUUGGGAUAACUUCAGGAAACUGGGGCUAAUACCGGAUAGGAGCUCCUGCUGCAUGGUGGGGGUUGGAAAGUUUCGGCGGUUGGGGAUGGACUCGCGGCUUAUCAGCUUGUUGGUGGGGUAGUGGCUUACCAAGGCUUUGACGGGUAGCCGGCCUGAGAGGGUGACCGGCCACAUUGGGACUGAGCUACGGCCCAGCCUCCUACGGGAGGCAGCGGUGGAGAAUAUUGCACAAUGGGCGGAAGCCUGAUGCAGCACCGCCGCGUGCGGGAUGACGGCCUUCGGGUUGUAAACCGCUUUCGCCUGUGACGAAGCGUGAGUGACGGUAAUGGGUAAAGAAGCACCGGCUAACUACGUG